RNAcentral lists this transfer RNA (68 nucleotides) under Empetrichthys latos latos. Its description in RNAcentral is "tRNA-Glu". It matches the Rfam family "tRNA". Rfam says of the family: Transfer RNA (tRNA) molecules are approximately 80 nucleotides in length. Their secondary structure includes four short double-helical elements and three loops (D, anti-codon, and T loops). Lineage: Eukaryota; Metazoa; Chordata; Actinopteri; Cyprinodontiformes; Goodeidae. The record is from RNAcentral.
GUUCUUGUAGUUGAAUACAACGGUGGUUUUUCAAGUCACUGGUCCUAGUGAAAGUCUUGGCAGGAACU